GGCGGGGCUGGGCGGUCCGCUUAACGGCGAGUACUGUCUGGCCCUGUCUUACUUCCUGGUGAGCCGGCGUGGCCUUUAUUGGUUGCGUCGGGGAACCAGGACUUUUACCUUGAGAAAAUUAGAGUGUUCAAAGCAGGCAUAUGCCCGGAUACAUUAGCAUGGAAUAAUGAAAUAGGACGU
This 180-nucleotide ribosomal RNA is filed under the name uncultured Glomeromycotina. RNAcentral describes it as "partial small subunit ribosomal RNA". Lineage: Eukaryota; Fungi; Glomeromycota. The record is from RNAcentral.